This 621-nucleotide long non-coding RNA is filed under the name Ananas comosus (pineapple). Its description in RNAcentral is "long non-coding RNA (ACOM_LNC010054)". The record is from RNAcentral. Lineage: Eukaryota; Viridiplantae; Streptophyta; Magnoliopsida; Poales; Bromeliaceae.
UGUUUACAAAUUUUUUUUAAAAAAACUCAGAUUAUCUGAUAAAUUUUAUAAUCAAGGUUAGAGAAGUGCAAAUGUACUAAAUAACAGUGUGAAUUGACUUUUAUUAAUAUUUUAAUAGUAUUUAAAUUGAAUACUUGUAUCAUUAUCUAAACUAAUUACUAGUGAGGGACAGUUUUGAAAGUUUAUUUGUUGUACAUUUCAUCACAUUAAAGUGCUCUUUCAAAAAAUUUUAAAAAAUUCAGGAUAAAAUGAACAUUUUCACUGAUUCAUAAUAACCUAUCUAAAUUAAAUAGAUGUUUGGUAGGGAGAUAGAAAUUAACGGCGAGAAUAUAUUUAUAAGAUAGUAUUUGUAAUGAUAUUUGUGAUAUAAUCAAAUUUAUAGGAAUAUUUAUAAUAUUUUGAACGUUUAGAGGGGUAUGAAUGAAAUUAACCCUUCAUUAGUAAUAAUUGGAACAUUUUAAAGGGCAAUUAUGAAAAGGAUAAAAUCGGUAUUUUGAUUAUGAAAAGGGUAAAAUUGAUAUUUUGAUUGUUGUUAUUGUAGAUUUUAACAAAAAUGUAUUUUGAAGGAUAUUUUUGAAAGUUUUCUAUAUUUGGAGGGGCAUUUAGGAUAUUUCAAUUUUU